RNAcentral lists this non-coding RNA (177 nucleotides) under Candidatus Kuenenia stuttgartensis. Lineage: Bacteria; Pseudomonadati; Planctomycetota; Candidatus Brocadiia; Candidatus Brocadiales; Candidatus Brocadiaceae. The record is from RNAcentral.
GAAAGCCGUGUGCGGGAAAAUCGCAUGCACGGUUUGAAGAGGGGGCAGACUUCGUCGUGAGCUCGGUCGAACGAUGAUAAGUAUAUGGCGGAGAUAUGGUGGCACUGGCGGGAAACCAGCCAGCAAACAGAGAAAACAAACUUCUGCCUAAGUUCUCGUCGUCUGUUUCUACUCUAC